UAAAAGAUUAAUGAUAUGAACGUGUUGUAGC
Molecule: non-coding RNA, 31 nt
Filed under: Mus musculus (house mouse)
Lineage: Eukaryota; Metazoa; Chordata; Mammalia; Rodentia; Muridae
Source: RNAcentral